UUCUCUCUCUUUGUGAUCCUCCCCUUUUCUCUCUGAACCCUUUUAUUAACCACAAAUUUGUUUUAAGCUUUGAAGCUCUGAAUCCAUAACCCAUGGCUAAUCGAGAAAGGUGAAGGAUGGGACACAAACCCUAACGCAAAAACACGAAACCGCACUGAUUCCAUCACCAACUUCGAAAGCGAAACCGUUGCAAGUUGGAAAGGGCUUAUUAUGAUGGACUGCUCAAUGGCCUCCGUAAACACGCAUUAACACCGCGUGACUCUAACCAAACUGUUAGAAAAUUUAUAGGCUGAAAAGUUUUUGUCAGGAAAAUUAUACCCUGUCCAUCUACUAAUCCGGGUUGCAUAUCUAUAAAUCCAAAGUCAUUGUCUCCAUACAAAUCCUGUGUUUUUGGGACCAAGAACAGUCAAUUCUUGCAGGGAGUAGCUGUCUUUGUAAAAAUCUGAUAAAAUGAAAGUGAUUCAAUGGGUAGCAAGAACGAAGUUGGUCAGAAAAUGGACAAAGAGUUAUACCAAUCUACUCGCACCUGGCAGAAAAAGAGUUAAAAGCGGACAACUCAAAGUUGGGAAGGGUUGCUCUUUCAGCUGCAAUCAUUAACGAUGUUCUGUCAUGGAUGCUUUUGGCUAUAGCUAUUGCUUUGACAGUAUAUGGAA
Long non-coding RNA from Vicia villosa (hairy vetch), 653 nucleotides. RefSeq lists it as uncharacterized. Lineage: Eukaryota; Viridiplantae; Streptophyta; Magnoliopsida; Fabales; Fabaceae. The record is from RefSeq and is a predicted model, not a curated record. The transcript has 5 exons.